RNAcentral lists this long non-coding RNA (471 nucleotides) under Homo sapiens (human). RNAcentral describes it as "non-protein coding HOXB-AS3:31". The record is from RNAcentral. Lineage: Eukaryota; Metazoa; Chordata; Mammalia; Primates; Hominidae.
GGAAAGGAGGGCCAAGUAGAGCCUCCACGACCCUCGGCUUCCUCCUCACCAGCUCCCCCUCCCUCCAAGUCCAGUAAGAAGUUGGGCCAAGCUGGAAGGGAUUGACCGGGUUGCUUGUCUGGAGAUGGAGCCACUACAGGCGGGCCUGGGCGCCUGGAGUCGGGCAUGAAAGAAAAUAGCGCCUCAUCGCUCUUAUCUAAGCCCAGAGGUAGACUUCGCUUGAAAAGAUCGAGAAUGGAGGAGGGGAUCGGCACUCACUUGCAGACAUCAACAGUUUCCAGAAAAUUCGGUUCAAUUCCUUCACCACGGACCCACCAACCAAGGAGCUGGCAAAACCCACUAACCAACCAGGAGAACACAGACCCGGUUUGUCUUUUGACAACCGAGUGGAACUGACGGGGCCGGCGCCUGCCCUGCGGGUCCCCUCCCUUGGCUGAGAAGAAAACCAAAUAAACCUUGAACAGCCUUGGC